AUACGGAGGGUGCAAGCGUUAUCCGGAUUUAUUGGGUUUAAAGGGUGCGUAGGCGGUUAUUUAAGUCAGUGGUGAAAGUUUUCGGCUCAACCGGAAAAUUGCCAUUGAUACUGGGUAGCUAGAAUAUGGUUGCUGUGAGUAGAAUGCGUGGUGUAGCGGGGAAAUGCAUAGAUAUCACACAGAAUACCGAUUGCGAAGGCAUCUCACAAAGCCAUCAUUGACGCUGAGGCACGAAAGUGUGGGGAUCAAACAGGAUUAGAUACCCUGGUAGUCCACACUGUAAACGAUGAUAACUAGCUGUUGGCGAUACACAGUCAGUGGCCAAGCGAAAGCGAUAAGUUAUCCACCUGGGGAGUACGACCGCAAGGUUGAAACUUAAAGGAAUUGACGGGG
Molecule: ribosomal RNA, 393 nt
Filed under: uncultured bacterium
Lineage: Bacteria
Description: partial 16S ribosomal RNA
Rfam family: Bacterial small subunit ribosomal RNA
Source: RNAcentral